RNAcentral lists this transfer RNA (64 nucleotides) under Bacteroidetes bacterium QH_10_64_37. Its description in RNAcentral is "tRNA-Arg". Lineage: Bacteria; Pseudomonadati; Bacteroidota. The record is from RNAcentral.
GGCGUGGUAGCUCAGUUGGUUAGAGCGUCGGAUUCCUAUCCCGAUGGCAAUCGAGGCCUCGACU